This 440-nucleotide ribosomal RNA is filed under the name uncultured Pseudomonas sp. RNAcentral describes it as "bacterial SSU rRNA". It matches the Rfam family "Bacterial small subunit ribosomal RNA", at positions 358 to 790 of the family's 1533-position model. Lineage: Bacteria; Pseudomonadati; Pseudomonadota; Gammaproteobacteria; Pseudomonadales; Pseudomonadaceae. The record is from RNAcentral.
GGAAUAUUGGACAAUGGGCGAAAGCCUGAUCCAGCCAUGCCGCGUGUGUGAAGAAGGUCUUCGGAUUGUAAAGCACUUUAAGUUGGGAGGAAGGGCAGUAAGCGAAUACCUUGCUGUUUUGACGUUACCGACAGAAUAAGCACCGGCUAACUCUGUGCCAGCAGCCGCGGUAAUACAGAGGGUGCAAGCGUUAAUCGGAAUUACUGGGCGUAAAGCGCGCGUAGGUGGUUUGUUAAGUUGGAUGUGAAAUCCCCGGGCUCAACCUGGGAACUGCAUCCAAAACUGGCAAGCUAGAGUAGGGCAGAGGGUGGUGGAAUUUCCUGUGUAGCGGUGAAAUGCGUAGAUAUAGGAAGGAACACCAGUGGCGAAGGCGACCACCUGGGCUCAUACUGACACUGAGGUGCGAAAGCGUGGGGAGCAAACAGGAUUAGAUACCCUUG